Molecule: long non-coding RNA, 1167 nt
Filed under: Zonotrichia albicollis (white-throated sparrow)
Lineage: Eukaryota; Metazoa; Chordata; Aves; Passeriformes; Passerellidae
Description: lncRNA (ENSZALG00000013839.1)
Source: RNAcentral
GUUUUGGAGCAUUAUCUGGAUUUUGGAGUUUUGGAGCAUCACCUCGAGUUUUGAAGCAUUACCUGGACUUUGGAGUUUUUGGAGCGUCACCUGGAUUUUGGAGUUUUGAAGCAUUAUCUGGAUUUUGGAGUUUUGGAGCUUUGGAGCAUCACCUGGAUUUUGGAGUAGUUUUGGAGCAUCACCUGGAGUUUGGAGCAUUAUCUGGAUUUUGGAGUAGUUUUGGAGCAUCACCUGGAGUUUGGAGCAUUACCUGGACUUUGGAGUUUUGGAGCAUCACCUGGAUUUUGGAGUUUUGAAGCAUUAUCUGGAUUUUGGAGUUCUGGAGCUUUGGAGCAUCACCUGGAUUUUGGAGUUUUGGAGCAUCAUGUGGAGUUUUGGAGUUUUGGAGCAUCACCUGGAUUUUGGAAUUUUGGAGCAUCACCUGGAGUUUGCAGAUGGGAAAAGAGCUCCAGCAAGAGGGAAGGGGAGAAUGCAAGGGAAAACAGCCUGAAAGCAGAACCAGGGUGUGCCCAGUGAUGAUCCAGGGGAGGAAAUCACACCUUGGAGGAGCCAAGUGGGGCCCAAGGAAAGAUCCUGUGCCAUGAAAUCCCAGCAGGGAUCCCAGGAUGUCAAAGGGAAGGGAGCUGUGCUGGCCAGGCCCAAGGGAUCCUUCAGGCAGCACCAGGAGGAGAGCCCAGCCCCAGGGAUGAACACAGUGUCAGCCUGCCUGCUGCCCAGACAAAAUUUGAAUUUCCAGGCAGUUUGUCCCAUGCAGAGGCCAUCACCUGCAGUAAAUAAAGCAGCUUUCCUGAGCAGAGAGCAGGUUGUGAUGGAUGGAGUGUCAGCUGUCGCUGCAGCCACGGCCCAAGUGUUGGAAAUGCCAUUAUGGCAGUGCUCAUAAAAGCUCAGCAGGGCUGGGAAACUCUGCCUGCUGCUGCUGCUGUGCCUUCUUUCUGCACACUGGGCCUGCUCUGCUGCAAAACACAUAAAGAGGUGCCUUAAUAGGAAAACAGGUUUUUUGGUACACACAGAAAUGUUUGUGCAGCAGGGCUGGAUGUGCAGAGUCCGUUUCCUCACAGGAGCUGAAGUGGUGGAUAAGGCACAGAGUCCAGGUGCAGAGCUGAGGCAGAAAUAGCCCUGGAAGUGCUCGUGUGAGACAGAGGAACCAGUGGAGAGAACAAAUCCCUG